Molecule: ribosomal RNA, 605 nt
Filed under: Salmonella enterica
Lineage: Bacteria; Pseudomonadati; Pseudomonadota; Gammaproteobacteria; Enterobacterales; Enterobacteriaceae
Description: bacterial SSU rRNA
Rfam family: Bacterial small subunit ribosomal RNA
Source: RNAcentral
AAAUUGAAGAGUUUGAUCAUGGCUCAGAUUGAACGCUGGCGGCAGGCCUAACACAUGCAAGUCGAACGGUAACAGGAAGCAGCUUGCUGCUUCGCUGACGAGUGGCGGACGGGUGAGUAAUGUCUGGGAAACUGCCUGAUGGAGGGGGAUAACUACUGGAAACGGUGGCUAAUACCGCAUAACGUCGCAAGACCAAAGAGGGGGACCUUCGGGCCUCUUGCCAUCAGAUGUGCCCAGAUGGGAUUAGCUUGUUGGUGAGGUAACGGCUCACCAAGGCGACGAUCCCUAGCUGGUCUGAGAGGAUGACCAGCCACACUGGAACUGAGACACGGUCCAGACUCCUACGGGAGGCAGCAGUGGGGAAUAUUGCACAAUGGGCGCAAGCCUGAUGCAGCCAUGCCGCGUGUAUGAAGAAGGCCUUCGGGUUGUAAAGUACUUUCAGCGGGGAGGAAGGUGUUGCGGUUAAUAACCGCAGCAAUUGACGUUACCCGCAGAAGAAGCACCGGCUAACUCCGUGCCAGCAGCCGCGGUAAUACGGAGGGUGCAAGCGUUAAUCGGAAUUACUGGGCGUAAAGCGCACGCAGGCGGUCUGUCAAGUCGGAUGU